CGAACGAACUCUGGUAUUGAUUGGUGCUUGCAUCAUGAUUUACAUUUGAGUGAGUGGCGAACUGGUGAGUAACACGUGGGAAACCUGCCCAGAAGCGGGGGAUAACACCUGGAAACAGAUGCUAAUACCGCAUAACAACUUGGACCGCAUGGUCCGAGCUUGAAAGAUGGCUUCGGCUAUCACUUUUGGAUGGUCCCGCGGCGUAUUAGCUAGAUGGUGGGGUAACGGCUCACCAUGGCAAUGAUACGUAGCCGACCUGAGAGGGUAAUCGGCCACAUUGGGACUGAGACACGGCCCAAACUCCUACGGGAGGCAGCAGUAGGGAAUCUUCCACAAUGGACGAAAGUCUGAUGGAGCAACGCCGCGUGAGUGAAGAAGGGUUUCGGCUCGUAAAACUCUGUUGUUAAAGAAGAACAUAUCUGAGAGUAACUGUUCAGGUAUUGACGGUAUUUAACCAGAAAGCCACGGCUAACUACGUGCCAGCAGCCGCGGUAAUACGUAGGUGGCAAGCGUUGUCCGGAUUUAUUGGGCGUAAAGCGAGCGCAGGCGGUUUUUUAAGUCUGAUGUGAAAGCCUUCGGCUCAACCGAAGAAGUGCAUCGGAAACUGGGAAACUUGAGUGCAGAAGAGGACAGUGGAACUCCAUGUGUAGCGGUGAAAUGCGUAGAUAUAUGGAAGAACACCAGUGGCGAAGGCGGCUGUCUGGUCUGUAACUGACGCUGAGGCUCGAAAGUAUGGGUAGCAAACAGGAUUAGAUACCCUGGUAGUCCAUACCGUAAACGAUGAAUGCUAAGUGUUGGAGGGUUUCCGCCCUUCAGUGCUGCAGCUAACGCAUUAAGCAUUCCGCCUGGGGAGUACGGCCGCAAGGCUGAAACUCAAAGGAAUUGACGGGGGCCCGCACAAGCGGUGGAGCAUGUGGUUUAAUUCGAAGCUACGCGAAGAACCUUACCAGGUCUUGACAUACUAUGCAAAUCUAAGAGAUUAGACGUUCCCUUCGGGGACAUGGAUACAGGUGGUGCAUGGUUGUCGUCAGCUCGUGUCGUGAGAUGUUGGGUUAAGUCCCGCAACGAGCGCAACCCUUAUUAUCAGUUGCCAGCAUUAAGUUGGGCACUCUGGUGAGACUGCCGGUGACAAACCGGAGGAAGGUGGGGAUGACGUCAAAUCAUCAUGCCCCUUAUGACCUGGGCUACACACGUGCUACAAUGGAUGGUACAACGAGUUGCGAACUCGCGAGAGUAAGCUAAUCUCUUAAAGCCAUUCUCAGUUCGGAUUGUAGGCUGCAACUCGCCUACAUGAAGUCGGAAUCGCUAGUAAUCGCGGAUCAGCAUGCCGCGGUGAAUACGUUCCCGGGCCUUGUACACACCGCCCGUCACACCAUGAGAGUUUGUAACACCCAAAGUCGGUGGGGUAACCUUUUAGGAACCAGCCGCC
This 1429-nucleotide ribosomal RNA is filed under the name Lactiplantibacillus plantarum. Its description in RNAcentral is "bacterial SSU rRNA". It matches the Rfam family "Bacterial small subunit ribosomal RNA". The record is from RNAcentral. Lineage: Bacteria; Bacillati; Bacillota; Bacilli; Lactobacillales; Lactobacillaceae.